CCUACGGGUGGCAGCAGUGAGGAAUAUUGGUCAAUGGGCGCGAGCCUGAACCAGCCAAGUAGCGUGAAGGAUGACUGCCCUACGGGUUGUAAACUUCUUUUAUAAAGGAAUAAAGUGAGGCACGUGUGCCUUUUUGUAUGUACUUUAUGAAUAAGGAUCGGCUAACUCCGUGCCAGCAGCCGCGGUAAUACGGAGGAUCCGAGCGUUAUCCGGAUUUAUGGGGUUUAAUGGGAGCGUAGAGGGGUUGUUAAGUCCGUGGUGAAAGUUUGCGGCUCAACCGUAAAAUUUCAAUUGAUACGGGCAGUCUUGAGUACAGUUGAGGUAGGUGGACUUCGUGGUGUAGCUGUGA
Molecule: ribosomal RNA, 349 nt
Filed under: uncultured bacterium
Lineage: Bacteria
Description: partial 16S ribosomal RNA
Rfam family: Bacterial small subunit ribosomal RNA
Source: RNAcentral